This 14182-nucleotide long non-coding RNA is filed under the name Olea europaea (common olive). Its description in RNAcentral is "long non-coding RNA (OEUR_LNC005505)". Lineage: Eukaryota; Viridiplantae; Streptophyta; Magnoliopsida; Lamiales; Oleaceae. The record is from RNAcentral.
CAAGAUUUCGUAAGAUUCAUGAUAUUAUAUCAAUGAAACGUUCGAACAGGUCAAGUCUACUUGUUCUAACGGGAUAAUCAAUGCAACACGGAGGUAUGUAAACAAAAAUUCAAAUUCUCACGCAAUGCAGUCUCAUUCUCACAUAGUGACUAUAUGACAGUUAAAGAACAAAAUCAACUACCAACUUAUAAUCAAAGUUCAACACUUCAAAAAUAGGCAAAUAGCUCCUAAAUUUCUAGCACAAAUAAUAUUACCCCCUCACGGUAACCAAAAACCUAAUGCCACCCCACACGAUGACAAGCUAAUGUUGAAAUUUAAAUUGGGAUAAGCCUAUAUAUUAGAGCAGACCAAUCUGAGUCCGUAAAUUUUGAGAGAAGCGAAUUUAUCACUUUAGGACCAUCACUAUUCGUCUUAAAGUCUCUAGUAACUGCAGCAACCAACAAAUCACGAUCGAAUCUUGGUUGUCCAAAGAGCAACUUUGCCCAGAUUCUACUGCACAACCUGAAACAAAAAACUUUCAACACAGAAAUGUCAGAAAAUAUCACUAGGAACAAACUCCCUGAAGAGAUCGUUAUCCGAAAACUAGCUACGUACCCUCACAUACGGCUACUUUUCCUAUGCGUGGUCCUCAUGCGCCGGUCAUCCUAGAUUGCCACCACCUGUACGUCACACUAGUGGUCUGCAUUUUUCAAAACUCCUUCUGGAUUGGUCAGAAAACACGAAACAGGGGCUGAUUUUUGACAGUUUUCUAGACAAUUUUUCGAUUCGAUUUCUGCUUUGUUUCAGUUGACUUUCUAGACUUUUUUUUGGUAUGUUUCACAAGCCAAAAUCACAAACUUGAAGCUCUUGUACCAGAUGUUACGGAAGCUCUCUCCAAGGAUCUUCAAAUCAGUGGUUUUUCGAACUCAGUCCAAUGUAUCUUUCUCUACCAACAACCAAACCAACCGGCUUCGAUCCACAACUAAUAUAAUUCACCUCGAUUUCUAUUCAAUCUUACCCACAAAGGAUAAGAAACGGUGAUGAUUUGUAGCCACAAAGGUAAGGAGAAAGCAUAAAAAGGUAAGCUAUGAAGGAACCACCAAUUACAUAAAAUAAACGAGCGUUUUGAAUACUUCUAGGGGCUUGUUUCAUACACUUCAAGGGGCAGUCGGGACUCUCCUUUUCUCACACAAAAACCAUACAAAUCAUACUAGAAAUUGGCUAGGGUUUAUUCCUUAUAAAUAUCCUAGGGUUAGGCUUUUAAUUGGAUCAUUAAGAAAGGUAAACAUGCUAAGAUUCAAGCCAUCCAAAAGGGAAUACAAUUGGACCGGGUGGAGCUCAUGGACUUAGUUGUUGGACUUAUUUCAUUCAUCGGCCUAUACCUAUGAAAUAAUUAACUCAUGUUAACAUCACAGCCCGAGAUUUAUUAGGUGUGAAAAAUCAAAAAAUAUUCUCAAUUCUUAUUAGAAGAUUAAUAUGGAAGCAUGCCCUCCUUAUUUUGGUACAUUACAUAGGUCUUAUUAUCUCGCAUUGCGUUGAAUAUUUUGGUUAUUACAGUAAUUCUUGCUAUAAGGUGAGAAAUUUUCUGUUAGUGUUUUGUAAAGCUUGUUAUCUAAGUUUAUACCUUCUUGCUUGGAACUUUCAAGUCUACAUUUAAGGGGGGCAUGUUUAAGAUCAUGCCAACAUAGUUUUGGUCCUAGUUUCUUGUUAAGUACUUGUUGGCCUCGCAAAUUGGACCCUCCAUGUGGCCAAUCGAUAGCUACUCCACGUAUUCCUCCCUGCGCACAAUCAACGCACGGUCAAAUGUACACGGCCGGAACCAACGGGGGCGGCGGCGUCGCAUACACUCCGACAGUUAAGUUAGCUCAUGGUGAUCCGAACAGUGCCAAGGUUGUGGAAAAAGGGCGGGGAGGAGAAUAUAUAUUUGCUUGUUAUGCAGAGCUAAGUUGUAAGAAUUUCAUUACCUUUGCCUCUUGUCAAACCUUGGGUAUUUAUAGUUGAGGAGAACCGUUGGAUGUGGGACAUGUGUAUGUAUCUGACAGUGUGAGGCAUCUGCUCAUAGGCAUCAAUCAGCUGCGUCUAUAGAGUUUGGGGGUAAUUACUUCUCCCGAAUUGAGUUGACAUAAAGUUGAUACGUCACAUCAACUAGGCUCAUGGAGAUGUCAAAUGAAUUAAACCUUGGGGACAGAAAGGAUCUUGACACAGAUCUCUUUCUAGAAUUAGCGGCGUAUCCUCUGAAGAGAACCUUGGAAUGUACUUCACCUCGGCUUCAGGGACAAGGACGCUUCGGUUGGUUCAGUAGAUUGUCUGUGCCUCGCAGUGCGUUAGCAGAUUGACAACAUUGGUGGUGGCGUCACUUCGAAACCACUUCGGAUGGGUAUUGAACACCUCGUAUAAUGCGGUGGUAGACUUUUCGAAGUGGUUCAGAUAGGGGCGUAACAGUGGUCCACCCAAGUUUAGGCAUGAAUAUUUAUAUCAUGGGUGGACUUGUUUUUCCCAUCGGGUAUGUCUGCCUCGGGAUAAGGACCGUGAUUUGUGAAAACUUGUCAAUCAGUUUUCUGUGUUCACCGAAGCAUUGACCUCAGGCAAACGUGCUAAAGCUUCAUUACUGCGUAAGGAAAGAACUUAUCCGAGACCGAUGUGCUGCCAACUGGAUGAUGCGUCAGGAGACGACCGAAGUUUUGUAAAGCUUAGGAGGAAACGUAGCUACCGAAGCGAUGACCUACAGGGGACUCCACGUCAGGUGCGUCUAAGCUUCGUAAAGCUGAAUGAGGAGCUCAUCUGCCAUCGGUGUGCUGACCCACAGGGGACGACGCGUUGGGAGAUAGCUAAAGCUUUGUAAAGCUUAGGAGGGAACGCAGCUACCGAGGCUAUGACCCACAGGGACUCCACGUCAGGUGCGUCUAAGCUUCGUAAAGCUGAGUGAGGAGCUCAUCUGCCAUCGGUACGCUGACCCACAGGGGACGACGCAUUAGGAGAUGGCUAAAGCUUUGUAAAACUUAAGAGGGAACGCAGCUAUCGAGACGAUGACCCACCGGGGACUCCGUGUCAGGUGUGUCUAAACUUUGUAAAACUGAGUUAGAAGCUCAUCUACCACCGGUGCGCUGAUCCACAGGGGACGACGCGUUGGGAGAUAACUAAAGCUUUGUAAAGCUUAGGAGGGAAAGUAGCUACCGAGGCGAUGAUCCACAGGGGAUUCCACGUUUGGUGUGUUUAAGCUUUCUAAAGCUGAGUGAAGAGCUCGAUCUGAGGUAGGCAUCUCUGACGUUAAAUGAUUUGACAGCUGUCGCGUAUUUCCAAGGUGACAGUUGGGUAUGACGCCCAUUCCCCUAAAAGGCUACUGCGACUAUUUAUUGUAGACGACCGAUGGUGAUCAAGUCGACACUUUUUAUGCUAGUUAAGGGGCACAGCCAGAUCUUAAGCGUAGAUCAAAUCUGGCAUUUCAUUUUAACAGCCUAGAUUGAUGAUGCGACAGACGACCUUGAUUGAUUGCAUUUGAAUUGAACGGUGGGGAUUAGCUGGGUCGCUCUAUAAAAGGUGGACUUGAGCAUUUGGGUAGUUUUUCACUUUUGCAAAAUCAGAAACUUCCUUUGCUCUAAAAAAUCUUGCACUUUUCCGCAUUCGUCAAGCAUUUUUCGGUGAGAAAUUCCAAUUUUCGGUGACUCUACAGACUCUGCUAAUCAUUUUUGGCUGUGGAACUCCAAAUUUCGUGAGUUUCAGUAAGUGUUUGAAACCCUUUCAUUUCUGAAAAAUGGCUUUUGAGGGUAGUGGUAGCUCGGGGAGGGGGUUGGAACUAGUGCGGAUGGACGAGCCCAUUCUGGCGAUUUCCUCCGAAAUAGCCGAAGCGAUAAUUGGAGGAGAACAUAUGGAAGAGGCUAGAUAGCCCCAUAGACACAUUAGUACAUUGGGGAGCUUCGGAUUACCCCUCUAAGCUAAAGGGUGCUGACCUGGAAAGACUUAGGGCUGAAUAUAGGAUCCCUGAUAGCGUAGAUAUGAUCCUGCCCAAACAUGAUGAGCGGGCCUGCUACCCUAGGCCAGGGUACGUAGAAAUUAGUGAGGCUAUUCUUAGGGUUAGCCUCAGGCUUCCGAUCCACCCAUUCUUCCGUAUGGUACUUAGGUCGUAUGACUUAGCUCCUACCCAAUUGAACCCAAACUCGGAGCCAAAUAGUGGGCUCCUGGAUGUUGUGGAAGGAGGCGUCGCUUGGGGUAGAGAUGCCCUUCUCUAUUUUUUAGACCCUCUAUAUCUCCAAGGUGGCGACUGGGUGGGGAUAAGACCAGGGGCUGGUUUACCUGACCUCAUGGGGUUCCUACACUCCAUUCGUGCUUGAUCUACCGAGCUCUAUUAAGGAGUGAAAGAGCUCGUGGUGUUGGGCUAUCGGGAGAUGGGAAAGGAUGGAGGGGACCCCCUGGCGCCUCUUAUGGUCCCCAUGAAGUAUUCAACACUUAGUGAAAAACUGUUGUUUUACGUUUUCCCUUGUUCGUCUUCGGUUCGGAUCAUAACUAAUAUUUGUGUUCUUUUGAAGGCACUCUUCCUUAGUGUAAGCUUUCCAUCGAAACUUUGACAUCAUCUGCAUUAUCUAUCAGCUACCUCCAAAGAAGAGAUCAUACCACCAGCUGAUCAGGAAAAGCAUCCACUUCGUGAUGCAAAACUUGAUGGCCUCUCAAGGUAAAUGUUCCAAAGCGAAUGCCUUUCAGUACUUUCCGAACUCUUUACACUUGUACUAAUUUGCUUGUUCCCUUGUAGAUUACUUUAACAAGAAGCUGCCUCUGAGGCCAGACUUCAAAACCAUCCAGAAGAUGAUGGCAAAGGCGAGAGCCCUGAAGACCUCCUCCUCGGCGUAUAAGAAGCAGAUGGAGGAUCUGAUGGAUGCCAGCAAAAGGCUCCAGCCUCCAACCGAGGAGGAGGUGGUGGAAGACCAAGACGCAAACCUACUGCAGAAGGGCAAGAAGCCUGCUGUCCCCAUCGAAGCACCCAACUGUGGCGAGGCCACCUCCGAUUUUGAGGCAGAUUACCAUUCCUACUGGGGUAGCCAUCCCGAGCGGGCGCCUGCACCAUCAGAGGCUUCUCCUACCCCAACGACAUCACUAGUAGCCGCUGUGCCAAUUGCCCAAGUGCUUGGGUAGCCAAAGAGGAAAAGAGCCCGUCCCUCAAAGGAGGUAAACUUUUUGGGCACCAAUUCACAGGAGCUAGUAAAAGAAGUAUUGGAGGCUCUUCCUCCUGAGACGGUGACAGUGGUGAUGGUCCAAAAUAAAUAUUGGACCGAAGAGUGGAGAGACCACACCGCCUCAUGCACUGCCGAAGACUUGGUCUUGGCGAACAGUGCUUGCAUGGCCCUGGCUCUCAACACGAGUAUCCAACUCAAAGGCUUGGUGAAAGACCUGAAUGCUAAGAUGGAAGACCUCGCCAAGCGCCUCAAGGAGGCGAUGCAGUAUCGAGACGCAGUGAGAGAGGCUCGAGCUAAGGCCUCGGAAGAGGAGAAGGCGAGGAAGGAAGCCAAGGCUCAGCUGGCCACUGCCAAGGGAGAAAUAGAGUGGCUGAAGAAGGAGCUCUAUGAAGUGGAGUGCCAUGUGGCUGCUAUCACCAGGAGAGUGGAUCAUGCAAACGAGCACCAUCGACUCGCCACGGAGGCUCUGGAGGCUACAAAUAAAGAAAAGAUAAAGCUGAGGCAGAGGGCAGAUGCCCAAGCUGAGGAGAUCGCCUCCCUGAGGGAGGAGCUUAAGUCGAUACGGAAGGUAGCUGUGCAGAACUUCAUCGACCACUUCGAAGAACAUCCCCUGUACGAUGAUUUUGCAAACUUUUGGGCCUCUUGGAGUGCCCAAGGACUAUUGGGUUGGCUGAAAGAGGUCCACCCCACUCUGGACAUAUCCUCAUUAGAAGCAGAGUUCAAUGGACGUACUGGAGGUCGGCCUGAUAGGUUCGUAGAGGACGCUCCAGAGGCCCAUGGGACAGGCGAGGUGGAGUUCGGGGUGGAAGAUGUCCCAAUAGAAUAGAGUUAAUCAAUCUUUGUAAUGGCUUUGGCCUCUUUUGUAAUCCAAUUCCAAAUGAAUGAAAUGAAAAAUUUUUGUCAAGUAUUAUUGCUUUUGCUUUUCUAUUGUGUUGAGCUGUUUACAUUUAAGAAUAUGAAUGACAACCACUUAAGCAAACAUUAAGUGCCUCUUACCAAUAACCAGUUAAUAACAGAAGAUCGGAUGAAUUAACGUAUUGAAGAACUGAGGUAACAAUUUACUAAUCGAUGUGACAAAUAACUAAAGUAUCAUUCAUUACUUAGAGGAGUUAUAUCACUCUUCACUAAGGCAUUUUCAGCACUUAGUAAGAUAGGGAAGUUACAAAUGAGAUUGGAUCAAAACACAAGCUCCUAAUUGAUAGUACUUCCUCAAAUGUUCAAUGUUCCAUUGAUGAGGCAGUGCUUUCCCUGUCAUGUCUUCAAUUUUAAAAGUGCCAGGUCAAAAUUCCCUAUGGAUGUGGUAAGGACCCUCCUAAUUCGGUCCCAACACUCAGGACCCAGUUGGCUUUGAUGAUUGGAAUACCCUUCUAAGGACGAGGUCUCCCAAACGAAGAGUCUGAUUUCUGACCUUGGAGUUAUAAUAGCGGGUCAUCUUUCUAUGAUACUUUGCCAAAUUCACCUGGGAGGUAUCCUUCCUUUCUUCAAGGAGGUGGAGUUCGCUCAUUCGAGCCUCGUCGUUACCGAUCUCAUUGAAGUGUAUUCGACGGUGCGAUGGGACUCCUACCUCAGCCGGGCUCAUGGCCUCGGCUCCGUAGGUCAUUGAGAAGGGUGUCUCCCCUGUUGCGGUUCGGUUAGUUGUUCUGAUGGCCCAGAGGAUGUGGGGAAGCUUAUCGACCCAAGCCCCCUUGAAGGUGUCAAGCUUCCCUUUCAGGGUAUGCUUGAUAGUCUUAUUUACUGCCUCAACUUGCCCAUUUGCUUGUGGGUGAUGAGGUGUUGAGAAAUCAUUCUUUAUGCCCAGUUCGUCGCAUAAAUCUCGCAUUUUCUUAUUGUUGAACUGUCUCCCAUUGUCGGACACUAAGGAGUGGAGAAUGUCGAACCUGCAAAUGAUGUUCUUCUAGAUGGAUUUUAUAGUAUUCGUCUCGAUGAUCUUGGCAAGAAGUUCAGUUUUGACCUACUUAGUGAAGUAGUCAAUGGCGACAAUGGCGAAAGUCGUGCUUUCUCUUCCUUUUGGGAGUGGACCAAUGAAAUCGAUGCCCCAUUUGGCGAACGACCAAGGGCUGGUUACUACAGAGAGGCUUUGAGAAAGUUGUCUUUGAAUAUUUGAGAAGCGUUGGCACUUGUCACAUUUCUGGACAAAAUGACAAGCAUCCAUUUUCAGGGUCGGCCAGAAGUAGCCUUGUAGGAGUACUUUGUGUGCCAAAGCUGUUCCUCCGGAAAGUGAUUCCCGCAGAUUUCCUCAUGGAUUUUCCUGAGUAUAUACAUGGCCUCUUCGCCUCCUACACAUCGGAGAAGUGGCGAGGCGAAGCCUCUUUUGUAGAGGACAUCUUCUUCUAGGACGAAGUAUGCAGCCCUUCUCCUUAACUUCCUUGCCUCGCUUCUAGAAGCUGGUAGUGAAUGAUCCUUUAGAUAGGCGAUGAUGGGUUGCAUCCAUAAUGGGGUGCCUUCUUUCCAUAGCACGUCAUCACCUCCGGAUAUGGAGGGCUUCGACAAGUGUUCAAUGGGGCAACCUUUAGUAGCUCUGAAUCCUUACUGCUGGCCAGUUUUAACAGGGCAUCUGCAUGAGUAUUCUCUAGGCGUGGGACUUGAAUCGGCUCGAACCUUUCAAAAUGAGAAACUAGGUCCAGAACCAAUUUUAAGUAUGCAACCAUGCUACUGUCCUUGGCCGCGAAGUUUCCAUUGACCUAACUCACUACAAGCUGAGAAUCACUACUUACCUAGAGCCAUCUGACCUGCAUUUCCUUUGCAAGUCUAAGGCCUGCUAGAAGGGCCUCAUAUUCAGCAGUGUUGUUCGAGGCUUUGAAGUCGAACCUUACUGCGCAAUUUAGCUUGUAGCCUUCGGGGCUUUCCAAGACGAUCCCUGCCCUGGAGCUAGCCUUUUCUGAGGAUCCAUCUACGUACAGUUUCCACGUUGGGGGCUCGGUUGGUUCCAUUAUCGCCUCCAUUUCUGGGGCUUUAGCAAACUUAGCCACAAAAUUUGGAAGGGUCUGGCCCUUGAUGGCAUGUUGAGGUCGAAACAGUAGGUCGAACUUACUGAGCUCGAUCGCCCAUUUUAGCAGGCGUCCUGAUGCAUCUGUUCUCUGUAGCACUUGCUUCAAUGGGAAGUUGGUGUGAACUUCAAUUGAGUGGGCCUGGAAGUAUGGCCUCAGUUUCCUUGAGGUUGUGAUGAGGGUAAGUGCCAAUUUCUCCAUGUCUAGGUAGCGUGUCUCAGUUGGGAGGAGUGCUUUACUGACAUAGUAUACCGGCAACUGGUCCUUAUUCUCUUCUCUGACUAGGACUGCACUGAUCGCCUCGUCUGAGACCUCCAAGUACAGGAGUAGUGAUUUUUUUGGUUGAGGUUUGGAUAUAGGGGCGCUCUCCUAAGUGCCUCUUGAGAAUUGGAAGGCUUCUUCACACUCAAAAGUCCAUUGAAACUUCUUUCCUUACUUCAGCACAUUGAAAAAGGGUAAGUUCUUAUCUGUAGCCUUGGAGAUGAAGCGACUGAGUGCGGCUAUCCGACCAUUAAGGCUUUGGACCUCCUUUGGUUUCUGGGGUAACCUCAUUUCAAGCAAAGCCAUUAUCUUCACUGGGUUCGCUUCAAUUCCUCUUUGGUUUACAAUAUAUCCCAAAAACUGACCCAAAGCCACUCCAAAGGUGCACUUGAGAAGAUUCAACUUCAUUUUAUAUUUUCUAAGUAUCUGAAAUGUUUGGUCGAGGUGACUUACGUGUUUGUUUGCCUAGAGGCUUUUUACUAGCAUGUGGUCAACGUAGACCUCCAUAGCUUUGCCAAUGAGUUUGGCAAACAUCAUGUUGACCAGCCUCUGAUAUGUAGCUCCGGCAUUUUUCAAUCCGAAGGGCAUGACUUUGUAGCAGUACAGUCCUUUGUCUGUGAUGAAUGAUGUAGCCUCCUCAUCAGGUCGGAACAUGGGUAUUUAGUUGUACCCUGAUUAUGCAUCAAUGAAGCUCAAAAAUUCAUGUCCAGCGGUGGAAUCCACAAAUUGGUCUAUCCUUGGAAGUGGGAAGCUGUCUUUAGGGUAUGCCUUAUUCAAGUUUGUGAAGUCUAUGCACACCCUCCACUUUUCGCUAGGCUUCUUCACCGGGACUGGGUUGGAUAUCCACUUCGGAUAGAUGGCUUCUCUGAUGAAGUCGCUGUGGCUAAGCUUGUCUACUUCAUCUUUGAGUGCCUCGUACCGCUUCGGGUUGAGAGCAUGUCUUUUCUAUCGAUGUUGGGUACAAGAGGAGUUGAUGUUAAGAUGAUGGCAACUAAUCCUUGGAUCUAUUCCUACCAUGUCUUCAUGCUUCCAAGCGAAGACAUCCAAGUUUCUUUUUAGGAAGCUCACCAUUUCUUCUUUUACAUCGAGGGACAAUACCUUCCCUAUUCGCAAGACCUGAUUGGGGUCCUCUGGGUUGGUGGAGAAAGUUUCAAGUUCUUCCAUUGGGGUUGCAUUUGGCUCAGAGUCAAUUAUCCGGGGAUCUAACUCAUCAAGAGGGUGCUCUUCUUCAGGAGCCUUUUCCAUGUUGACGUCUUUCUCCUGUUCGGAGGUAUGCCCUUGUUCAGGACCGUCAAGUAUUUUCACAUCCAAAUUGGCCUCAUCGAUAACUUCAGUUAUGAUCACGUUAACAGUUCAGGGAUCCAAUUUUCGCAGAGAGUUUAAGUAACAUACCCCGAAGCCCAUCUGAUCGCCUCAGACCGUAGCAAUUUCAUGUUCAAUUGGAAAUUUCAUACACAAGUAGUGGAUGGAGGUGACAGCCCAAAGAUCUUUCAAGGCGGGUCUGCCUAAUACUCCAUGGUAGGCCAAUCCGUGGUCUACCACUAAGAAUUUCAUGAAGUGUCGGGCCACUAGGGGAGCCGAACCCAUCUCAACGGGCAGAGUGAUCCGCCCUCGUGGGACAAUGCUGUUUCUAGUAAAUUCGAAUAGUGGGUCGGUCAUGGGGACCAGCCCAUGUUAAAUUUGCAUUUUGUCGAAGGUGGAGCCGAGUAGUAUAUUCACCGAACUGCCAUUGUCGACGAGCAUGUGUUUGAGUUCGUUUCUUGCCACUAUGGCUCUCAUAACCAAUGUGUCACAAUGGGGGUGGUGAACUCCUUAUGCAUUUUACUGGGAGAAGGUAAUUGGGGCCAUCAUGUUGGCCUAUUGGGACUCGUUGACAAUGUAAGUGAGUAUUGGCGGGUCCUUUGCUUCCCUUAUGUAAUUCCUUUGGGCGUUCCUGAUGUUGCCGCCGAGUGAGGUUCCCCAAUGAUUGUAUCAAUUUCCCUUAUGAUUUGGCCUCUAGAAAAUGGGGCUUGAUUUCUCUGUCCGGACUCUCCUCUUCAUCGGCCUGUUUGGGGAGACAGAUCUCCGGGGAUGUUCAUCCUUCCUGGAGGAGUGUGGUUUAUUCCGAUCUGAGCCUUGCGGGGUGUCUUUGCAUUCGCUGGUGUCAUGUCUAUAGAGUUGGUGGAAGUUGCAGAAACUUGCCCCUUCCAAGGGCCUGUUUGACCGCUUCUUCUUCUUCUUUUUAUUACUAUCAGAUCCUCCAGAUGGCCCUACUUUGCCAGGGGAAUUCUCGUAUGCCAAUACCGGCACUGCAUUUAGCGUGGCAGAAGCCAGUGCUUGUUCGGAGGUGGGACCUAUUGUAUGACCUGCUUGAGUCCAUUGCUGAGUGACAAGGUGCGCUGUGGGUCCUCAACCUACCUACCUUUGAGACAGAGGGAGUCCCCGUACUGCAUGGUUUCGAUAAUCAAUCAUCUCUUCACUGACGAUCUCAACUCUCAUCAUUUCUACCAGCUCGUCAUAAGUGGAGGGAUUUUUGCUGAGCACAUCCCUCCAGAAUAAAGUGUUCAUGUUGAGGUCGCCUUUCAGAGCUGAAAGGGCUUCUCUGUUAGUGACCUACUCGCAGUACGUGAUUUCGUCUAUAAACCUGGUGAGAUAGCUUUUCAGCGUCUCUCCAGGGGCCUGUCUUAUACCUUGCAGGCAUUGCACUAGGACCUCUCCUUCUCUGCAUGAGAGGUACUGGUUCAAAAAUGCCUUCUUUAAAUCUGGCCAACUCUUAAUGCUCAGGGGAGGAAGUCUGCUGUACCACACUUCAGCAGCUUCGCCCAGGGUUAGGUGGAAGGCUCUGCAUUUCAAAGUAGGCGAGGCUCCCAUGAGGCUUAUCUGUGUCAUGUACUUGGUGAGGUUCUUCUUCGGGUUCCCCUUUCCUUCAUACUUGGGGAUCUUAGGAGGCAUGAAAUUCGCAGGCAUUGGGAAGUUUCGAAUUUCCCUUGAGAAAGGGAGGUUAUCAUCAUCAUCGUCAAUUUCAUAGGAUCGACAAGGCCCAUCUGACCCUUCAUCAUCUUGAAUGUUCUGGGGAGGUGGAGGUGCUUCUCCUCGACUGCCCCAAUCAACUAAGUCCCUUCUUUCCUUCCUAUUUCUAGGAGGAGGAGGUGCUUGUUCUUGCUCCUGUUCUUGCCAAACUGAUCUUCGUACUGAGUGGACCCUAUUACUAGGGUCCUACCCCAUUUGGUUGAAGACACUGAUUGACCUUUGUGCUUCAUAUCCUUGAGGAAAAUUGUACCCCAAUUGUUGUUCUGCUGGCUGGCUCUCUUGCACAUAGGAUGUGGCUUUUGCACCCACUUCUCUUUCGAAGGGGCAUUCUCUGUGCUGGCUCACAUGGCCUCGGGAACGAGACGCAGGGGUUUCCUAAACUGGGAAGAUCCUUGGGGCAUUUGAGAGCCCUGGUGACCUCGAGCUUGCAUGAGAAGUUCAUGCAUCGCCAUAUUAUGGGCUGCGAUGUCUCUCAUGCCCGCAGCUAUUUGAGCCAUUCCUUCAGUAAGUAUGGUUGUUUUUUCACCUCGGUUACGCCGGUGAUGUGGUCUCUGGUGAGUGACAUUGUUACGGAGCACCUCUUUUUCAGAGGCCUCUCUCAUAGGGUUCUCGUCUUCAUGGCUGGAACUCUUCUUAUAUCUUUUUUCAAGGGUGAUAAGAACUUGAAUUAUAACUCAACUUUGCUCUUUUUCAAGAACGUGCCCUUUUCAGGGUAAGUCACUAGUUUUCCGGUGGUUUCUCUGAUGGAGAAUGCAAAACUUUGGAUGGGAAGUUUCCCACAGAUAGCGUCAAUUUGUUGACCUCGCAAAUUGGACCCUCCACGUGGCCAACCGAUAGCUACUCCACGUAUUCAUCCCUGCUCACAAUCAAUGCAUGGUCAGAUGCACACAGCCGGAACCAACGAGGGUGGCAGCGGCCGCAUACACUCCGACGAUCAAGUUAGCUCCUGGUGAUCGGAAUAGUGCCAAGGUUGUGCAAAAAGGGUGGGGAGGAGAAUAUAUAUUUGUUUGUUAUGAAGUGUUAAGUUGUAAGAGUUUCAUUAUCUUUGCCUCUAGUCAAACCUUGGGUAUUUAUAGUUGAGGAGAACCGUUGGAUGUGGAACACGUGUAUGCAUCUGACGAUGUGAGGCGUCUGCUCAUAGGCGUCAAUCAGCUGCGUCUAUAGAGUGGGCGGGUAAUUACAUCUCCCAAAUUGAGUUGACAUAAAAUUGAUACGUCACAUCAACUAAGCUCAUGGAAACGUCAAAUCAAUUAAACCUUGGGGUCAGAAAGGAUCUUGACACGGAUCUCUUUCUGAAAUUGGCCGUGUAUCCUCUGACAGAGAACCUCGGAAUGUACUGCGCCUCGACUUCAGGGGCGAGAGGCUUCGAUCGGAUCAGUAGAUUGUCUGUGCCUCACAGUGCGUUAGCAAAUCGACAACAUUAGUGGUGACGUCACUUCGAAACCACUUCGGAUGGGUGUUGAACACCUCGUAUAAUGCGGUGGUAAACUUUUCGAAGUGGUUCAGAUAGGGGCGUAACAGUAUUGUCAAUAAAGGAUGUUUUAGUUGCGUGUUUCCUGCAACAACUUUAUUGGGAUGUUCGGGGAAGCUCGAGUCAAUAAGAUAAUUUACUCCUCGUUCUUCAUAUGCCUAUCGACUGUAUUUCGAUGUUUGGCUUCCUCAACUUAAUGGGAUAGCUUGCUAAAUUUUUUUGCAGAUGAAACUGUUUUUAACUGAAACAGAUGCUACAAUUUGGUCUAAAACACUGCCAAUGGGCUGCAAAGAAUCAACAUAAUGUUUUGUACUAUCUGCCUAAUGACAACAGUAAUUUCUUCCUUAUUCAGUUUCUAAUUUGGCUUCAUUACUUAUGUUCACAGCCUUAAGCGUGUAUUUUUCUAGGAGUGACACUUUAUAAAAACUAGGGAUGGCAAUAAGAGGGGUUCGAGUCUGAGCGGGUUCUCCCUUCCCCGUCCCAUCAGGCAAUUUCUCGUCCCGUUACCCGUUUAAAGCGGGGAUCGUUUGCAUACCUCUUUUUUUAAUAAUUCAUUUUAUUACCCACAUUCAUUAAAGUGAGACAAUACUAUAGUUAUUGAAGUUUUUAAUUAAUUUAUUUAUUUUUAAAAGUUAAAUUAUUCGAACACAUUUGGUAAACUAAGGUCUUUAUUAUUUAUCAUAUUUUUUAGAUAAUCUUAGUUGUCAUCUUCUAUUAGAAUUAAUGAAAUUUCAUGGAGUUUUUUUAUUUAAAGUAUUGAAUUCUUAACAACAAAAAAUUAAACGGGAUGAGAUGGGGCAGGUAUGGGUGGCAGGUAUUACCCAUACUUGCCUCGAGGCGAAAUUCCCCUACACAAACCUGACCCAAAUGCCUAAUUAAUCAGUAAUCCCUGCCUCGUUCAGGACAUGGCCGCGAGUAUCAGGCUUGAAGAAUUUUUUUGCCAUUUCUAAAUAGGUUAAAUUUCACGUCUAAUAAAGAUGUAAAAUAAAAGGGUCCGAACUACUACUCACAAGAAUUAGUUAUUCCUCACUCGUCCUCCACCUUGCAUUUCUAGCCUCCCUCGUUUGUUUGCAUCCCAACCUUCCUUUACCGACGCCGCUCCCCCAAAUUCCUUUGUCCACUAUCCCUCUGCUUGAGUGAUUCGCGAUGUUAGAGCAGGUGAUUUUUGGGGGAGGAAAGAGAAAGAUGGAAGGAAAUGAGAGGAGGGAAUACUAAAAUGGGGAGAUGAAAAUAAGGGAUGUAAUCAUUUCAAUAAUCAAGCAUUUUUCAUCACCCCACACAAGUGGGAUAGUUGUGAAUAAAAUGUUGUG